This 769-nucleotide small RNA is filed under the name Yarrowia lipolytica. RNAcentral's name for it is "eukaryotic LSU rRNA". The stretch from base 234 to 769 matches the Rfam family "Eukaryotic large subunit ribosomal RNA", at positions 1 to 517 of the family's 3401-position model. Lineage: Eukaryota; Fungi; Ascomycota; Dipodascomycetes; Dipodascales. The record is from RNAcentral.
CGUCAUUUUAUCUCAAUUAUAACUAUCAACAACGGAUCUCUUGGCUCUCACAUCGAUGAAGAACGCAGCGAACCGCGAUAUUUUUUGUGACUUGCAGAUGUGAAUCAUCAAUCUUUUGAACGCACAUUGCGCGGUAUGGCAUUCCGUACCGCACGGAUGGAGGAGCGUGUUCCCUCUGGGAUCGCAUUGCUUUCUUGAAAUGGAUUUUUUUAAACUCUCAAUUAUUACGUCAUUUCACCUCCUUCAUCCGAGAUUACCCGCUGAACUUAAGCAUAUCAAUAAGCGGAGGAAAAGAAACCAACAGGGAUUGCCUCAGUAACGGCGAGUGAAGCGGCAAAAGCUCAAAUUUGAAACCCUCGGGAUUGUAAUUUGAAGAUUUGGCAUUGGAGAAAGCUAACCCAAGUUGCUUGGAAUAGUACGUCAUAGAGGGUGACAACCCCGUCUGGCUAACCGUUCUCCAUGUAUUGCCUUAUCAAAGAGUCGAGUUGUUUGGGAAUGCAGCUCAAAGUGGGUGGUAAACUCCAUCUAAAGCUAAAUACUGGUGAGAGACCGAUAGCGAACAAGUACUGUGAAGGAAAGGUGAAAAGAACUUUGAAAAGAGAGUGAAAUAGUAUGUGAAAUUGUUGAUAGGGAAGGAAAUGAGUGGAGAGUGGCCGAGGUUUCAGCCGCCCCUCGUGGGCGGUGUACUGCCGACGCCGAGUCAUCGAUAGCGAGACGAGGGUUACAAAUGGGAGCGCCUUCGGGCGUUCUCCCCUAACCCUCCACACUG